Molecule: ribosomal RNA, 1450 nt
Filed under: uncultured organism
Description: SSU rRNA
Rfam family: Bacterial small subunit ribosomal RNA
Source: RNAcentral
GAUGAACGCUAGCUACAGGCUUAACACAUGCAAGUCGAGGGGCAGCAUGGUCUUAGCUUGCUAAGGCCGAUGGCGACCGGCGCACGGGUGAGUAACACGUAUCCAACCUGCCGUCUACUCUUGGACAGCCUUCUGAAAGGAAGAUUAAUACAAGAUGGCAUCAUGAGUCCACAUGUUCACAUGAUUAAAGGUAUUCCGGUAGACGAUGGGGAUGCGUUCCAUUAGAUAGUAGGCGGGGUAACGGCCCACCUAGUCUUCGAUGGAUAGGGGUUCUGAGAGGAAGGUCCCCCACAUUGGAACUGAGACACGGUCCAAACUCCUACGGGAGGCAGCAGUGAGGAAUAUUGGUCAAUGGGCGAGAGCCUGAACCAGCCAAGUAGCGUGAAGGAUGACUGCCCUAUGGGUUGUAAACUUCUUUUAUAAAGGAAUAAAGUCGGGUAUGCAUACCCGUUUGCAUGUACUUUAUGAAUAAGGAUCGGCUAACUCCGUGCCAGCAGCCGCGGUAAUACGGAGGAUCCGAGCGUUAUCCGGAUUUAUUGGGUUUAAAGGGAGCGUAGAUGGAUGUUUAAGUCAGUUGUGAAAGUUUGCGGCUCAACCGUAAAAUUGCAGUUGAUACUGGAUAUCUUGAGUGCAGUUGAGGCAGGCGGAAUUCGUGGUGUAGCGGUGAAAUGCUUAGAUAUCACGAAGAACUCCGAUUGCGAAGGCAGCCUGCUAAGCUGCAACUGACAUUGAGGCUCGAAAGUGUGGGUAUCAAACAGGAUUAGAUACCCUGGUAGUCCACACGGUAAACGAUGAAUACUCGCUGUUUGCGAUAUACUGCAAGCGGCCAAGCGAAAGCGUUAAGUAUUCCACCUGGGGAGUACGCCGGCAACGGUGAAACUCAAAGGAAUUGACGGGGGCCCGCACAAGCGGAGGAACAUGUGGUUUAAUUCGAUGAUACGCGAGGAACCUUACCCGGGCUUAAAUUGCAGAUGAAUUACGGUGAAAGCCGUAAGCCGCAAGGCAUCUGUGAAGGUGCUGCAUGGUUGUCGUCAGCUCGUGCCGUGAGGUGUCGGCUUAAGUGCCAUAACGAGCGCAACCCUUGUUGUCAGUUACUAACAGGUUCCGCUGAGGACUCUGACAAGACUGCCAUCGUAAGAUGUGAGGAAGGUGGGGAUGACGUCAAAUCAGCACGGCCCUUACGUCCGGGGCUACACACGUGUUACAAUGGGGGGUACAGAGGGCCGCUACCACGCGAGUGGAUGCCAAUCCCAAAAACCUCUCUCAGUUCGGACUGGAGUCUGCAACCCGACUCCACGAAGCUGGAUUCGCUAGUAAUCGCGCAUCAGCCACGGCGCGGUGAAUACGUUCCCGGGCCUUGUACACACCGCCCGUCAAGCCAUGGGAGCCGGGGGUACCUGAAGUGCGUAACCGCGAGGAGCGCCCUAGGGUAAAACUGGUGACUGGGGCU